UACGAAGGGGGCUAGCGUUGUUCGGAAUCACUGGGCGUAAAGCGCACGUAGGCGGACAUUUAAGUCAGGGGUGAAAGCCUGGAGCUCAACUCCAGAACUGCCCUUGAUACUGGGUGUCUCGAGUCCGGAAGAGGUAAGUGGAACUGCGAGUGUAGAGGUGAAAUUCGUAGAUAUUCGCAAGAACACCAGUGGCGAAGGCGGCUUACUGGUCCGGUACUGACGCUGAGGUGCGAAAGCGUGGGGAUCAAACAGG
This 253-nucleotide unclassified non-coding RNA is filed under the name uncultured Alphaproteobacteria bacterium. RNAcentral's name for it is "contains 16S-23S intergenic spacer region". It matches the Rfam family "Bacterial small subunit ribosomal RNA", at positions 524 to 776 of the family's 1533-position model. The record is from RNAcentral. Lineage: Bacteria; Pseudomonadati; Pseudomonadota; Alphaproteobacteria.